GGACGCAUAGCUCAGCUGGAUAGAGCGUCGGCCUCCGGAGCCGAAGGUCGAAGGUUCGAAUCCUUCUGCGUUCGCUA
Molecule: transfer RNA, 77 nt
Filed under: Deltaproteobacteria bacterium
Lineage: Bacteria; Pseudomonadati; Myxococcota; Myxococcia
Description: tRNA-Arg
Rfam family: tRNA
About the family: Transfer RNA (tRNA) molecules are approximately 80 nucleotides in length. Their secondary structure includes four short double-helical elements and three loops (D, anti-codon, and T loops).
Source: RNAcentral